UACGUAGGUGGCAAGCGUUGUCCGGAUUUACUGGGCGUAAAGGGCGCGUAGGCGGCCACCGCAAGUCGACUGCGAAAUCUCCGGGCUUAACCCGGAAAGGUCAGCCGAUACUGCGGGGCUAGAGUGCAGAAGGGGCAACUGGAAUUCUCGGUGUAGCGGUGAAAUGCGUAGAUAUCGAGAGGAACACCUGCGGCGAAGGCGGGUUGCUGGGCUGAUACUGACGCUGAUGCGCGAAAGCCAGGGGAGCGAACGGG
This 254-nucleotide ribosomal RNA is filed under the name uncultured bacterium. Its description in RNAcentral is "partial 16S ribosomal RNA". It matches the Rfam family "Bacterial small subunit ribosomal RNA", at positions 524 to 776 of the family's 1533-position model. The record is from RNAcentral.